AGAUUCGUAACGUGAAACUUUUAGGUCAGAUCACAAUUCGUGCCUAUAAAGACAUUUUAAAAUUCAAGUCACAUAAAAGUAACACUUAACCAUGGGGAUUUUGGACAGAAGAGAGAUAGAAAUGCAAAAGAGAGAAGGGGAGGUGGAAAUGCAAAAACAAGGUUGGGAGGGAGAGGGGUUGAGAAGAAAAUUGAAUUUCAUUUUUAU
Molecule: unclassified non-coding RNA, 207 nt
Filed under: Hevea brasiliensis (rubber tree)
Lineage: Eukaryota; Viridiplantae; Streptophyta; Magnoliopsida; Malpighiales; Euphorbiaceae
Source: RNAcentral